RNAcentral lists this transfer RNA (87 nucleotides) under Bacteroidales bacterium. RNAcentral's name for it is "tRNA-Ser". It matches the Rfam family "tRNA". Rfam says of the family: Transfer RNA (tRNA) molecules are approximately 80 nucleotides in length. Their secondary structure includes four short double-helical elements and three loops (D, anti-codon, and T loops). Further hydrogen bonds mediate the characteristic L-shaped molecular structure. tRNAs have two regions of fundamental functional importance: the anti-codon, which is responsible for specific mRNA codon recognition, and the 3' end, to which the tRNAs corresponding amino acid is attached (by aminoacyl-tRNA synthetases). tRNAs cope with the degeneracy of the genetic code in two manners: having more than one tRNA (with a specific anti-codon) for a particular amino acid; and 'wobble' base-pairing, i.e. permitting non-standard base-pairing at the 3rd anti-codon position. RNAcentral also lists the same sequence under 1 other name. Lineage: Bacteria; Pseudomonadati; Bacteroidota; Bacteroidia; Bacteroidales. The record is from RNAcentral.
GGAAAGUUGGCCGAGUGGCUUAAGGCAGCGGUUUCGAAAACCGCCGUAGUGUCACAGCUACCGGGGGUUCGAAUCCCUCACUUUCCG